This 509-nucleotide long non-coding RNA is filed under the name Mus caroli (Ryukyu mouse). RNAcentral describes it as "predicted gene 13954 (MGP_CAROLIEiJ_G0003229.1)". The record is from RNAcentral. Lineage: Eukaryota; Metazoa; Chordata; Mammalia; Rodentia; Muridae.
AGGUUGAAGUGCAUUCGUUCUCCACUUUACUUCAUGAGCAGGCAAUGUUGAGCACAAAGGAUAGGUCUGCUUUCUAAAUAAGGGGAUCCACUUCUGGCUCCAAGAUCGAUGCUGAGUAGAGAAAAAUGGUGGCCAAAAAACAGGACCUGGAAGUUGGCUAUGUCACUUUUACUCACAAAGCUGCCAAUGUGGCUGGUGGGCUGGUCAGCCCACAAGCUUUGGGACCUACCUGCUUCUGUUCCCUAAUGCUGAAGUACAUGCACAGGCAGCCAUGCUUGGCAACUGAACUCAGGUCUUCACAUUCAUAAGGCAAGUGCUCUUACCCACUGAUCCACCUCUCCAACCUCUAAUUAUUACACUUUUACAUUUAUAGUAUUCAAUAAUGAUUAUAUUAUUAUAACAUUAUAUUGCAAGCAUUCUAUACUCAAUUAAAACCCUACAGUGUGGUACACUUCUGCUCAAUUUUUCAUGAACUGUACACAGCUCAUAUACAGCCUGGCCAGAGGGAA